This 484-nucleotide ribosomal RNA is filed under the name uncultured bacterium. Its description in RNAcentral is "partial 16S ribosomal RNA". It matches the Rfam family "Bacterial small subunit ribosomal RNA", at positions 30 to 507 of the family's 1533-position model. The record is from RNAcentral.
AUUGAACGCUGGCGGCAGGCCUAAUACAUGCAAGUCGAGCGGAUGAAGGGGGCUUGCUCUUCUCUUCAGCUGCGGACGGGCGAGUAAUUCCUACGAAUCUACCCUGUCGUUGGGGCUAACGUCCCUUCACGGGCCCUAAUCCCGCAUCCGUCCUUAUGUUGAACGUGGGGGAUCUUUAGACCUCGCGCUUUUUGCUGUGCCUAGGUCGGAUUAGCUAGCUGGUUGGGUAAAGGCCUACCGAGGCGACUAUCCGUAACUGGACUGAGAGGCUGAUCAGUCACACUGGAACUGAGACACGGUCCAGACUCCUACGGGAGGCAGCAGUGGGGAAUAUUGGACAAUGGGCGAAAGCCUGAACGAGCCAAGCCGCGUGGGUGAAGAAGGUCUUCGGAUUGUAAAACACUUUUAGUUGGGAGGAAGGACAGUAAGAUAAAACCUUGCUGUUUUGACGGUACCAAAAGAAUAAGCACCGGCUAACUUCGUG